UUUCUUGAGUUUUCUUAAACCAGUGGAUUUAUCAAAUUAAAAAUAAAUAAUUAUAAAAAAUCAUUGUCUUGCAAUUCAAUAAAAGUAUUCUUAUAGCUCCUUGAAUGUUGUAGUAAUAUAAGUGAAAAUAGCUUUGAAACAAGAAGGAAAUCUUAAGAGAAGCGGGAUUGAGUGCGGGAUAUUUUCGGGUUUUUUGAAGAUAAUCCUAAGUUCGUCAAACAUAAUGUGUCUUUGAAUGACAAAUUCAGAGCAAUCAAAAAAAAGGUGAUGUAGAGAUUGGGCUGUAUUUGAGUUACACCAUGUGCAUGAUGGGGAAGCGAUCAUGCCCAUUCGGUGCAGGUGUUCGUUGAAAUGUCCGUGGCCGAUUCGUAAUCUACAAAUAUUGGUGUAAAAUUUUCUGUUUGUGUCCUUUCCUUUGCAGAACCACGGUUUUCCAAUACGCCAAUUAAUUUUGCGGUACCAUUUGCCUUUAGUCUGUAAUAUUUGAGUCCAAUGCUCCUCCCAUUUAGUUGUAACGAUUUUAUGUAUUCCAAUACUACAAUCUGAGUAACAAAGGGAUAAAUCUUGAACACGAGCAGCACUUGAAUUAAUAAUUUUAGCCAAAGUGUCUACUUGUUCAUUCCCAAACACUCCAAUAUGUGAAGGGGUCCAGAUGAAGAUAAUAUCUUUUCCAUAUAUAGUACAGAGAUGAUAAUAUUUAUUACGAAUUUCUUGAAUUAAGUAGUUUGAUGAUGAAAUGAAUGUGUUAUUUUUUAAUGCCAUAAGAACACUCAUACUAUCUGUAAUUAUAAUCCAUUUCGAAUAUAGUACCUGUUUUUCUAUGUAUUCUAAUGCUAAAAAUAUAGCUUUUGCUUCUGCUGUGUAAAUACUAGCCAAAGUUGAAAUUUUAUAACCGUGACCAAAUCUAUUUGACAAAUCGUAAAAAGCCACUGAAGUGCUAAGUGCAUUUUUGGAACCAUCUGUAUAUAUCUGCCUGUAGUCAAUAAAUUCUGAUAAAGUCUCAUACAUAUCGUGCUUUUCUUUUAUGUCUUUACGUAUAACAAUUUUGAUCUUACAGAACUUACUCUCAUAAAGGCCAUUAUAACAAGGAAGUAUCUUACUACUAUAGAUGUUAUAUUCAUCUCGUAAAUUCAAAUCAUUGACAAUAGUUUUAUUCAAAAACAUAGAAAUGGGGCAAUUUAAUAAUUUGAGUAUGAGUGGGUUAUUGGAAACUGAAAAAACUUUGAAGAGAAAUUUGAGUUUUAGGUAUUCGAAACGAAGAAGGAUAGGAGGCAAAUUACAUUCUACUUGCAUUGAGAUAAUUGGAGAAGUAUACAUAGCACCUAAAAUAAGUCUUAAAUUCAUAUUUUGAAUUUUUUCGAGUUUUUCUACUAAUUUAUGUUCUGAGGCAUAACAAAAGAAAGCGUAAUCAAAAUUACUUCUAACAAGAGAUUUGUAAAGUAAAAGGAUAAUUUUAGGAUCAGCUCCCCAGUUACGACCAAUUACAGAUCUUAUUAUAUUAGUGGCUCUUAAAGCACGAUCUACUAAGCAAUCAACGUAUAGAUCCCAUUUUAAAUUUUGAUGAAAAAUUACCCCCAGAAAUUUAACGCUACAGUCUGUUGGAAGAGUUUGAUUAUUAUAUAUAAUAUUCAUUAAUGGAACAUAUUUAUGAACUUGAUGAAAAACAACUACUUUACUUUUGGUUAAACUAAUAUCGAGGGAAAGAAGAGAAAAAUAUUUCUCAAGUCUUUUUAAUGACUCAUUUAACACUAAUUGCAUAUCAAUAAUAUUCUUUCCUUUUAUAUAAAUUAAUAAAUCAUCGGCAAAUUGCAAGUUGUUCACACUGUUUCCUAAAAUUGAAUUAAGUUUAUAGAUAUAUAAAAUAUAUAGUAGCGGGCUUAGAAUACCACCUUGACAUACUCCUUUAGAGCUUAACCUAGGUCCUAUUAAUUUACUAUUUACUUUAACAUACACUUCUCUAUUACUAAGAAAAUUAUAAAUCCAUUCGAUAAGUUUCAUUGGAAGAAAUGAGGAUAAAAUCGAAGAUAGAACUGUUAAAUUUACAUUGUUAAAAGCUCCUACGACAUCUAAAAAAAACAGAUAGAACAUAUUCAUCGUUAUUCAAAGCAGUACUAAGGUCGACAUAGAAGUUCGCUAAACUUUCGCGCGCUGAAUAUCCACGGCGAAAACCAAAUUGAUUCGAUGGUAAUAUACUAUUACUUUCAAUAAAAAACUCUAAACGCUGUUUAAUUAAUUGUUCGAAUAAUUUGCCUGCACAGGACGUCAAUGUUAUAGGUCUAUAGGAGUCGAAAUUUGUAGGAUCUUUACCGGGUUUAAUUACUGGAAUCAAACAAUCCAUUUUCCAUUCUGGUGGGAUAAUACAGUCCUUCCAUAAAUCGUUAAAAAUUUGUAAGAGUUUAGUAAGGUUUAUUUUAUUCAGCAAUCGAAACAUAUUGUAUGUUAAGCGAUCAAGGCCACUAGCUGUAUCUUUUCUAGAUUUUACUGCACUGGAUAUUUCAUCAAUUGAGAAUGGGUCAGUGAGAAAUUUUGGGCAUGAAUUAACAGAAUUAAACUGUUUGUCAUCAAAAGGUGAGUGUACAAAAUCAGGAGUAUAUUUGCGUAAAAAAUCAUUGACCCAUGAUAUAUCUUUAAAAUGAUUUUGACGAUGUUUUGAAUUUAGUUUUCUCAUAUUUUGCCAAACAGUGGAAAUUGGUGUUAAUCUAUUAAAUUUGGAACAAAAUUCCUGCCACCCCUGUUGUCUUACUUGCUUAAUUACUAACUUUUUAACAGCUUGAACUCUUUUAAAAUUUAUGUAAUUAUCGAGAGUUGGAUUUUGUUUAAACCUAAGGUAAGCCGCUUUACUAUCAUUGACAGCUGUCGCACACCUGUUAUUCCACCAAGGUACUGCAAUAUGUUUGUGCCUCUUUGAAGUAUUUGCACCGCUAUUUGAUAAGUUCCUACGUGGAACGGAACGUUCCACAGCUGUCAAAAUAAUUUUACAGAACCUAUUGUAAUUGUUUAAGGGUUCAUUGACAUCAUACUCGAAAUCCAAAAGUAAUUGAUUAACAGUUUCAGAAUAAAGAUCCCAAUUAACGAGACGUAGGUUUAUACGAUUUAACAAAAGUUUAUUAACUUCAUCUAUAGGAGCAUGUUGUUCACCUGACAGAGUUGAUGAAGAGUUCUUUGUGUUUAUUUUAAUAAAAGUCGGCAGGUGAUAACUUCCUAACGGAUCAUCAUGAACCGACCACUCGCAUUUUAAUGAUAUGGAUGGGGAUACCAUAGUUAAAUCAAGGCCAUUGGGUCUCCAAAUAUGAGAGCCAACAGUAGUAACUUGCUUAUCAUUUAAUAGUACCAAAUUACAUUCAUCUAAACAAUCAAGAAUGUCUUUACCUCUUGUAUUAGUGGAGGUACAACCCCACAUAGUAUGAUGUGCAUUUAAAUCUCCAGAUAUGAUAGUGGGUUUAGGAAGAGACUCCAAAAAGAACUUAAAUUUGGCUUUAGUAAAACUAGGUGUACUAUUGGUAGGACAGUAAAUACUGGCAACUGAAUACCAAGAAUUAUUAACUUCAAUACUAAUAGCUAUAGUUUGCAAAGAAUUGUCGAAAAAAGAGUGAAGUUUUUUAUAUCUAAUACUAUUAUGUAUAAUAAUCGCUACUCCAUUGUGGUUAUUACCACAAUCAUUUCGUUCUAUACAAUAAUCUUUAAUUUUUAAUUUGUAAUGUGGUUUUAGCCAAGUUUCUGAGAUGAGAGCAAUGUGAAUAUGAUGUUCAUUUAAAAAUUGUGUAAAAAUAUGUCGAUUGCUCAGUAGGCUCUGAGCGUUCCACUGUAUGAUAGUUAAUUGGUCUCGAUUGAAUUUUGUGAAAUAGGUCUAUUACCAAAAGUAUCAUAUAACACAUUCAAAACACUUUUAGUGUUAAUAGAUGUGUUCUUUGUGUUAUGUAGUGAAAUAAGUUUGAUUAUGCUUUCUAUUAAAAGUGAUAAACUCUUGUUAUCAGAAUUUAGAAUUGAAAUUAGGUCUACAUUUUUUUUAGGUUUGUUACCCAGUUUAGGAAAUAUUUCAGUGCUAAGUACAUCUCCAAAAGAAGCAGGUCUGAAUUUAGAUCUAUUUUCAGCAAUUUUCUUUUGUUUAACAGGGCAUUGCGGUGAUACACUUGUGUGAUUUCCAUUGCAGUGUACACAAAUAGCGUUUUCCAUUCCAGUUGUACAAGUUUUAUAAUUAUGCUCACCUUUGCAGAUGCUGCAACGCUCAGAAUUCUUACAGAAUUUAGCUAAAUGUCCAUACCUCAAGCACCGGUAGCAUUGUUUAACUGGUGGUAUAUAUGGAGUGACAUUGUGGCGCCAACCUCCAAUAUCCAGAUAUUCAGGUAAUACAGAUGCAGCAAAAGUAAUUGUCACGGUUAGAGUUGGCUGUAACACAUAUCCAUGAGUCAAGAUUCUGAGUCAGUAGAAGUAUCUUCCGAAUAUAUAUCCUUGUCAUUACAAGGUUCAUGGUCUACAUCACCUGAAUCGUCAUCUUUUUUUUUCCUUUUUCUACAACUGCGCUUCCCCAUGAAUGCUAAUUAUAUUACUGUCGCUGAAUUUAGUGAGAAUAUAAUAUUUUAUUCAAUAAUAAGAAUUGAUAGAGAUAGUUUUAAUAAAUUAAUAAAAAAAAUUUAAAAAA
This is a long non-coding RNA of Galleria mellonella (greater wax moth), 4639 nucleotides long. RefSeq lists it as uncharacterized. The record is from RefSeq and is a predicted model, not a curated record. NCBI's taxonomy places the organism in Eukaryota, Metazoa, Arthropoda, Insecta, Lepidoptera, Pyralidae. The transcript is spliced from 2 exons.